This 199-nucleotide non-coding RNA is filed under the name Paenibacillus larvae. The record is from RNAcentral. RNAcentral also lists the same sequence under 1 other name. Lineage: Bacteria; Bacillati; Bacillota; Bacilli; Caryophanales; Paenibacillaceae.
ACAAAUACAUGAUCAGCAGGUCCUGCCGGCAGUACUGUCUGCCAUGCAGGUGAAAAGGGAAGCCCGGUGCAAAUCCGGCACGGUCCCGCCACUGUGAUUCGAGAAUGAUCUCAUUAAGCCACUGUCCGGAAACAGGAUGGGAAGGCGGGAUCAUGCACCACUCGAAAGUCAGGAGACCUACCUGUUGAUGACUCUCGCG